GACGGUGUUGCUCAGUGGUAAGAGCAUUGCCCCUGUCAAGGGCAGGCACCUGAGUUGCAGGUUCAAUCCCUGACCCUUGUCA
RNAcentral lists this transfer RNA (82 nucleotides) under Myotis davidii. It matches the Rfam family "tRNA". From Rfam's summary of the family: Transfer RNA (tRNA) molecules are approximately 80 nucleotides in length. Their secondary structure includes four short double-helical elements and three loops (D, anti-codon, and T loops). The record is from Rfam by way of RNAcentral. Lineage: Eukaryota; Metazoa; Chordata; Mammalia; Chiroptera; Vespertilionidae.